RNAcentral lists this ribosomal RNA (541 nucleotides) under uncultured bacterium. Its description in RNAcentral is "bacterial SSU rRNA". It matches the Rfam family "Bacterial small subunit ribosomal RNA", at positions 355 to 896 of the family's 1533-position model. The record is from RNAcentral.
UGAGGAAUAUUGGACAAUGGUCGGAAGACUGAUCCAGCCAUGCCGCGUGCAGGAUGAAGGUCUUAUGGAUUGUAAACUGCUUUUGCAGGGGAAGAAUAAGGACUACGCGUAGUUUGAUGACGGUACUCUGUGAAUAAGCAUCGGCUAACUCCGUGCCAGCAGCCGCGGUAAUACGGAGGAUGCGAGCGUUAUCCGGAAUCAUUGGGUUUAAAGGGUCUGUAGGCGGGCUGGUAAGUCAGAGGUGAAAGCGCUUAGCUCAACUAAGCAACUGCCUUUGAAACUGCUGGUCUUGAAUGGUUGUGAAGUAGUUGGAAUGUGUAGUGUAGCGGUGAAAUGCUUAGAUAUUACACAGAACACCGAUAGCGAAGGCAUAUUACUAACAAUUAAUUGACGCUGAUGGACGAAAGCGUGGGGAGCGAACAGGAUUAGAUACCCUGGUAGUCCACGCUGUAAACGAUGGAUACUAGCUGUUUGGACGCAAGUUUGAGUGGCUAAGCGAAAGUGAUAAGUAUCCCACCUGGGGAGUACGCACGCAAGUGUG